RNAcentral lists this ribosomal RNA (452 nucleotides) under Astyanax sp. DM-2003. Its description in RNAcentral is "partial 12S ribosomal RNA". It matches the Rfam family "Bacterial small subunit ribosomal RNA", at positions 754 to 1413 of the family's 1533-position model. Lineage: Eukaryota; Metazoa; Chordata; Actinopteri; Characiformes; Acestrorhamphidae. The record is from RNAcentral.
AAAAAGCUUCAAACUGGGAUUAGAUACCCCACUAUGCUUAGCCCUAAACCUAGAUAUUUAUUCUACAAAAAAUAUCCGCCAGGGAAUACGAGCGUUAGCUUAAAACCCAAAGGACUUGACGGUGUCUCAGACCCACCUAGAGGAGCCUGUUCUAGAACCGAUAAUCCACGUUAAACCUCACCACCCCUUGUUUUCCCCGCCUAUAUACCGCCGUCGCAAGCUUACCCUGUGAAGGACAAACAGUAAGCAGGAUGGGUAUACCCCAGAACGUCAGGUCGAGGUGUAGCUUACGAGGUGGGAAGAAAUGGGCUACAUUUUCUUCAUCAGAAUAUACGAAUGGCAUUAUGAAACUUGAUGCCUGAAGGUGGAUUUAGUAGUAAAAAUCAAAUAGAGAGUCAUUUUGAAUUAGGCUCUGAGACGCGCACACACCGCCCCGUCACCCUCUGCAGUCA